RNAcentral lists this ribosomal RNA (546 nucleotides) under Triticum aestivum (bread wheat). RNAcentral describes it as "partial small subunit ribosomal RNA". The record is from RNAcentral. Lineage: Eukaryota; Viridiplantae; Streptophyta; Magnoliopsida; Poales; Poaceae.
AUGUUACCCAGGACAGAGAAGCAGUACAAGACCACUACGGUGCCUUCAGCAGCGCCAAAACGAUGGUUGCCACCGGCUAUAGGGAUCGCGAAGAUCAACGUGGAUGGUGCAGUGCUUCGCUAUGGGCACGGAGGCGUGGCAGCAGCCUUUUGCCGCGACCACAACGGCGCUUAUUUAGGCUCUUCGGCGGUUGUUUUUCAAGGCAUGACAGACCCAAUGAUUCUUGAAACAUAUGCUUGCAGGGAAGCGACGGCGUUGGCAGAAGACCUCAAUCUUCAGGACCUAUGUGUUGUAAGCGAUUGCCAAGGGGUCGUCAAGGACAUCCUCAUGGGAACUAGUGGAGCAAAUGCAGCCAUUGUACAUGAAGUAAUAGAACGCAAGGGUAGUUUUCGUACUUGCAGUUUUGUUUUUGAACAUAGGAACUUCAACUUUGAAGCCCACAAUCUCGCCAAGUAUGCUUGUAAUUUAUCUUUAGGUCGACAUGUUUGGCUGGGCAUGCCCCAUGAUCCAAACCUUGUACCAAUGAACAUUCUUUUGAAUCAAUAA